CAUGCCCCGUGGCCACAGCUACAAAUUCCAGUUUUAUCUCUGUUGUGGUUUUGAGCCCAUUUGCUUUUGAUUAUGUUUCAGUUUUGAAAGGAAAAGACAUACACUCCAGCUACCUUUUUUCUUUCUCAGAUGGAGUAAUAAACCUUAUUUAUAGUGGAAUUUGUUUCCUUCCAUGGCGACAGAUUUGAUUUUAUUAUUCUACCUCAUUGCAUUUGAGAUUGCAGCAAGGAGGAAACACAUAAAAGCAUAUCCAUCCCACACUACCUCCCUUGUAGCUGAUUAUAGAAAAAAAAGAUAUAACAAUCUGUUGGUCACCCUGUCCCAUGACAAUUUUUUGCUUAUGACCAACAGAAUUGCACUUUAUGUUCAAAAGAAUUCUUCAUGUGCACCCUGUCAACAAAAGUGGAUGUAAGAUUCAAAGUAUGAGUGCCAACAGUGGCCACAUAUAGUCACAGUGACUUGGGAGACUGAGACAGGAGGACCACUUGAGCCCAGGAGUUCCAGGUCAACCUGGAUAACAUAGUUUGACCCUGUAUCAAAAAGAAGAGAAAAAUCUGAGUGUGGUGGUGUACACCUGUACACUCAGCAGCCUGAGGCAGGAGGAUUGCUGUGAGUUCAAGGCCAACCUGAACUACAUGGUCAGACCCUGUCUCAAAAAACAAAAAAAAAAAAAAGAAAAAGAAAAGAAAAGAUUCAAAGUACGGCCAACCUCAGCAUGACACCAUAUGUCCAUUUCUUCUAUCACUGAUAGCACUCUUCAAAGCUGCAAUAUGCUUUGCAUAGCAUGAUCAUUUGAGCUGGAAAGUUUGAGCACAAUUUUAAUUUGCUUUUGUGCCUUUCUAUUCAAACCAGGUGAAAACAUGGCCUAACUCCAGUCUGCCGACAUACAUCUUCCAAAAUGUGGGACACCUGCCUCAUUUUCCGAUGUGUAGCAUCUCCCACAGAGUGCACCUGACCUCAGGCUGGCCGAGCGGUGUAGAGGAAUGUUGAGAAGAUGCCCCAGUGGUGCCGAGGUGACAUUUUCAGACAUGUAACAUCUGAAAAUGUGAAUUCACUGUAUGUUUUGGUCACAUCACAUAUUUGUCUGUGUUUGACUUUACUGGGCCAUGGACUGUUCUUGAGAUCUCACAUCUGCUCACUACUUUGUGAUGCCCAUUCAUCUCGGGC
Molecule: long non-coding RNA, 1167 nt
Filed under: Heterocephalus glaber (naked mole-rat)
Lineage: Eukaryota; Metazoa; Chordata; Mammalia; Rodentia; Bathyergidae
Description: lncRNA (ENSHGLG00000032623.1)
Source: RNAcentral